CUACAUUGGCUCCCAGUAUGUUUCUGAGCACCAUUCAAAGUGCUGGUGCUGACAUUUAAAGCCCUAAACGGCCAUGGUUCAGUAGACCUGAAGGAGCAUCUCCACCCCCUUUGUUCUGCCCAGACACUGAGGUCCAGCUCCAAGGGCCUUCUGGUGGUUCCCUCAUUGCAAGAAGUGAGGUUACAGUGAACCAGACAGAGGGUCUUCUCCGUAGUGGUGCCCGCCCUGUGGAAUGCCUUCCUUUCAGAUGUGAAGGAAAUAAGCAGCUAUCCUAUUUUUAAAAGUCAUCUGAAGGCAGCCCUGUUUAAGGAAGCUUUUAAUAUUUAAUGCUGUAUUGUUUUUAAUGCUCGAUUGGAAGCCACCCAGAGUGGCUGGGGAAAUUAUUAUUAUUAUUAUUAUCAUUAUUACAACUUUGUCUCUGGGCACAAUACAUUAUAUUCAGUUAGUGUUGAAACUGACGGAGGCAAUAUAAAAGACUGUUAGAAAGAGGUUGGAAAAAGAAAAUUAGGUCGUUCUGGUAGAUAUGAUAUAAAGGAUUAAGUAAAAAUGAGUUGAUGAAUUUUAUGAAACAGAGGAGGUUUAAUCAUAUUAUUUAAAUUUUAAAAUACGUAAAUGAAAAUAAGGUUAGAAGGAUUUGCUGGAAAUACGAUUUGAACUAGAAUACAAAAUUGGGAGGUGUGAGGAGGUCAUGGAAAUAAGUAAAGGGAAAAGGCUAUGUAAAGGUUAAAUCUGUUUUUGUUUUAUUUUAACUUAAUGCAUUUUUAUAUUUUUUGUUAAUGUCUUCUUUUUUAUUCGAUUUUAUUGUUCACUUUAUCUUUUUAUUUUUCGCUUUGUUAAAGUUCUCUUUGUAUUUUGUAUGGUUUUUCUUUCUGUUUUUUGUAAUUUUAAAUUUGGAAUAAAUAUUAUUAAAAAAAAAAAAGAAACUGACGGAGGCCCCAAAUUUCUGAAAGAGUGGCUCCUUCCCUACAGACCCUCCCAGGUGUUAAGGUCAGCAGAGGGCGCCCUCUUGACAGAAGGGAUGUCCAAUAAUUCCAAUGGAGACAGAGACAGAAAAAGAAAUUGUUGGCUUCCACUUCUUUGUCCCAUGUCUGGAAUGGAGAGCAAUCCAGUGAAUAUAAUCAGGACAAAUGAUUUGCAAUUGAUUACGGUUUUUUCCUCAUUUGCAUUGCGUUCCUCCUGCAUUGAAAAGAUUGGGGUGGGAAAACGUAACGACUUAAUGCAAUUAUGAAUGUUAUGCAAGCAACAGUGAGACAGUAGAUGAAUGGCAGUGGAACGGAAACAGUGGUGCAGGCGAUAAAGACGAGGCAGAAAGGAAAAGGAUGUCUUCCUGCAUUCCUACUUGGCAGUUCUACUGUCAGAACCUCAGUGGGUGGUGGUGUGGGUGAGCCCCUUUCUAUGUGGCAGCCCCUGAACUGCAGAACUCCUUCCACACUAAAGUGUGCCUUAGCACCUACCUUAUUUAUUUAUUUAUUUUAUUUUAUUUUAUUUUAUUUUAUUUUGUACACCACCCUAUACCUGCAGGUCUCAGGAUAGUUCAAAAGAUAAAUAGCUUUGCUGCAUAGCUUCGUACGUACAAGACGCAUGACUUUAUCCAGGUCUUUCACGGAGAAGCUAUUUUGUUUUAUACUAUCUACCACUUUUGUUGACUUUGUGCUGUUCCACGCUGUCUUGAACAGUUUUGGAUUUUAUUGGCAUUUAUGUCUUAAUACGCUUUUGGUGAUCUGUGUUAUGUUUUACAAUCUAUUUAUGUACCCUACUUUUUACACUGG
This is a non-coding RNA of Podarcis lilfordi (Lilford's wall lizard), 1769 nucleotides long. The record is from the annotation of a GenBank genome assembly. Lineage: Eukaryota; Metazoa; Chordata; Lepidosauria; Squamata; Lacertidae.